AAAGACGAAGUGCUUUGAUUUUUGAAUAAACAAAUGUCGAGGUUACAAGGAAAUUGGAGAAAACUGAGUAUCGUGCUGUCAUAAAGUACCUUCAUUUGAAAGGCAUGACUCCAUCAGAAAUCCAUGAAGAUAUGGUGAGAACCUUAACAGACAAUGCUCCUUCAUAUGCAACAGUCAAACUCUGGGUAAAUGAAUUCCAGCGUGGCAGGAGGCAUCCAACUGCAACCAACGAGGACAACAUUGACCUUGCUCU
Octopus sinensis (East Asian common octopus) is the source of this 253-nucleotide long non-coding RNA. RefSeq lists it as uncharacterized. Lineage: Eukaryota; Metazoa; Mollusca; Cephalopoda; Octopoda; Octopodidae. The transcript has 3 exons. The record is from RefSeq and is a predicted model, not a curated record.